This 1164-nucleotide ribosomal RNA is filed under the name Salmonella enterica. RNAcentral describes it as "bacterial SSU rRNA". It matches the Rfam family "Bacterial small subunit ribosomal RNA", at positions 1 to 1155 of the family's 1533-position model. Lineage: Bacteria; Pseudomonadati; Pseudomonadota; Gammaproteobacteria; Enterobacterales; Enterobacteriaceae. The record is from RNAcentral.
AAAUUGAAGAGUUUGAUCAUGGCUCAGAUUGAACGCUGGCGGCAGGCCUAACACAUGCAAGUCGAACGGUAACAGGAAGCAGCUUGCUGCUUCGCUGACGAGUGGCGGACGGGUGAGUAAUGUCUGGGAAACUGCCUGAUGGAGGGGGAUAACUACUGGAAACGGUGGCUAAUACCGCAUAACGUCGCAAGACCAAAGAGGGGGACCUUCGGGCCUCUUGCCAUCAGAUGUGCCCAGAUGGGAUUAGCUAGUUGGUGAGGUAACGGCUCACCAAGGCGACGAUCCCUAGCUGGUCUGAGAGGAUGACCAGCCACACUGGAACUGAGACACGGUCCAGACUCCUACGGGAGGCAGCAGUGGGGAAUAUUGCACAAUGGGCGCAAGCCUGAUGCAGCCAUGCCGCGUGUAUGAAGAAGGCCUUCGGGUUGUAAAGUACUUUCAGCGGGGAGGAAGGUGUUGUGGUUAAUAACCGCAGCAAUUGACGUUACCCGCAGAAGAAGCACCGGCUAACUCCGUGCCAGCAGCCGCGGUAAUACGGAGGGUGCAAGCGUUAAUCGGAAUUACUGGGCGUAAAGCGCACGCAGGCGGUCUGUCAAGUCGGAUGUGAAAUCCCCGGGCUCAACCUGGGAACUGCAUUCGAAACUGGCAGGCUUGAGUCUUGUAGAGGGGGGUAGAAUUCCAGGUGUAGCGGUGAAAUGCGUAGAGAUCUGGAGGAAUACCGGUGGCGAAGGCGGCCCCCUGGACAAAGACUGACGCUCAGGUGCGAAAGCGUGGGGAGCAAACAGGAUUAGAUACCCUGGUAGUCCACGCCGUAAACGAUGUCUACUUGGAGGUUGUGCCCUUGAGGCGUGGCUUCCGGAGCUAACGCGUUAAGUAGACCGCCUGGGGAGUACGGCCGCAAGGUUAAAACUCAAAUGAAUUGACGGGGGCCCGCACAAGCGGUGGAGCAUGUGGUUUAAUUCGAUGCAACGCGAAGAACCUUACCUGGUCUUGACAUCCACAGAACUUUCCAGAGAUGGAUUGGUGCCUUCGGGAACUGUGAGACAGGUGCUGCAUGGCUGUCGUCAGCUCGUGUUGUGAAAUGUUGGGUUAAGUCCCGCAACGAGCGCAACCCUUAUCCUUUGUUGCCAGCGAUUAGGUCGGGAACUCAAAGGAGACUGCCAG